UAAAAAUAAAUUUUCUGGGCUGGGAAUAUAGCUCAGUUGGUAGAGUAUUUGCCUUGCAUGUAUGAGGUCCUGGGUUCAAUCCCCUGCAUCACAAAAUAAAAUAAAAUAACUUUCUUUUAAGAUAGCUAAGUGAGGCUUUUUUCUUGUUUAAAAGCAUGUUUAGAUAUUCUUGCAUAUACUGGUGAAUUAGAGCUUACUAUUAAUUUGAGAUUUUAUUAUGACUUUUAAAAAGUAUUUAUCUUUUAGUUAUAGAUGGACACAAUAACUUUAUUUUAGUUUUAUGUGGUGCUGAGGAUCCAGCCCAGUGCCUCACGUAUUGUGGGCAAGUGCUCUACCUCUGAGCCACAGCCCCAGCCCUUUAUUAUGGCUUUUUCUAUUAACAAUAUCAUUUUCCAUCAAAAGGGUUGUACACUAUUAGUAGUGUGGAAGAGUCAUGUACAAGUUUUGCUAAAAUAUAUAAUUUGAGAAGAACUGAAGGAUAUUUCCAAUGUACUUCCCAAUUGUUUAAUAGAAAUUCUUAGAAAAUUCUGAUAUAUAAGAUAGAGCUUUUGAAUAUCAUUAGUAUCAUAAUAGUGUUUGUGUGAAAUGCUGUUGACAAUGUAAAAUGUGUAUCUAAAAGAGAUGUAUACCUUAUUUGUAAGAUAUUCAUAACCUUAUUGUCAUAUUAUUUCUUUUUGCAGUGUAUCUCUUGGGUUAGAAAGAGCCAAGGUAUUUUAUCAUUCAAUGAAAAGACAUUUAAUAUCACUGUGAAUUAUUUCAAGUUAUUUUAAAUGCUUGAUGUAUCAAAAAUAGAUACUUGGGAAUACUCUGUCUUAUUUAAUAGAGCUUAUCUAACAACUGGGAUCCCAGAAAAAGAAGAGAUGUCUAUAGUAGGGGAAGAAUCCAUCUAUCAGAAUUUUAAAAUUAAUUGUGAUUUAUCCACUGGUCC
This 928-nucleotide long non-coding RNA is filed under the name Marmota monax (woodchuck). The stretch from base 26 to 89 matches the Rfam family "tRNA", at positions 5 to 66 of the family's 71-position model. The record is from RNAcentral. Lineage: Eukaryota; Metazoa; Chordata; Mammalia; Rodentia; Sciuridae.